Molecule: long non-coding RNA, 304 nt
Filed under: Prunus persica (peach)
Lineage: Eukaryota; Viridiplantae; Streptophyta; Magnoliopsida; Rosales; Rosaceae
Description: long non-coding RNA (PPER_LNC003263)
Source: RNAcentral
GAGUGUGCAUGACUUGCAAUAGCAUGAAAGAUUGUGGCUGAGGUUGGCACGUGUUGUACUAGGCUGCCAUGCUCCGUAGAGAUAUUUAACAGAGCCACAGCUGAUGCUUUACUUGCAUACAACUCAUAACCCAACUGAUUAGAGAGUGAUUUGUGGCUCAUUACCCAUCACACUUUCUUCAACUUCUGAGAGGUUAUGUCAACUGUCUUUCUAUAGUCUUGCUAACCAAAUGAAGCCCCCAAGUGGUGUUCUUCCAGCAUGUCCAAUGUGAAUACUUUGCUGUUGGAACCAUCCUCCCAUCCAU